Non-coding RNA from Podarcis lilfordi (Lilford's wall lizard), 81 nucleotides. The record is from the annotation of a GenBank genome assembly. NCBI's taxonomy places the organism in Eukaryota, Metazoa, Chordata, Lepidosauria, Squamata, Lacertidae.
GCCUGGGUACGAAUAAUAAGAAGCUGGCAACUAAUGAGACUUUUAAUCUCAGGGCUGUGGGUUCGAGCCCCACUUUGGGCA